Motacilla alba alba is the source of this 1587-nucleotide long non-coding RNA. RefSeq lists it as uncharacterized. Lineage: Eukaryota; Metazoa; Chordata; Aves; Passeriformes; Motacillidae. The transcript is spliced from 6 exons. The record is from RefSeq and is a predicted model, not a curated record.
GGGGCGCGCUGCGGCCUCUCCCGGCCACAUUUAAGGAUCUGGAGCACUAAAUAACAUUAAGAAUUAACAGAUGCCAAAGGAGUCGCAUUCCUUUUUCCGUGGUAAGGAGGUCAGUGCCGGCGGCGUGGGUGUCGCAGCAGAUGGCUAAGAUUUUGCUCAUGACCUGUGAGCACUGCACAGGACCCCUUGAUGCAUCUCCAUAAUCUCAUCCUGCAACUUCUCCAGUUAUCCCCUCCUGCAGUAAUCAAAACUGAGGUUACAGUGAAGCUUUAGCCAUGAUGAUUGACAACAAACCAAUCUAAAGCGACCUGGCACCUAAAUGUGAGCUUUCCUAGAAGAGAAAGAAAAGAGGUAGAUAUGCUGUGUUUGGAAACAGAACACACAUUCCUGUAAUGCCACUGAGGAGAAUCAAACAGUUUGCUCACCUCGUGCACUCUUCUGGACCCAGAGGCAACACAAGUGUUUUUUGACUGACCUGGAGGUUCUGCUGGGGAAUUUAAGGAGUCCUGUCCCUGCUCAUGGGUUCACGUGCAACAGCACCAACGUAGCGCCUGAUGAGGAAAAUCCCCCUGCUCCCACCGUGUGUUGGCGUUCCGGCUCCAGAUGAUAUUUUCUGUACAUAAUAACUAAGGCAGUCUGAGGGAACCUUGCCGGCGCGGCGUGAAUUCGUCCACCUUUAAUCGGCGUUCGGGCCGGAGAGCGGCUUCCCACCCCUGAGCUGGGGUUGGUGUGCCGCUGCUGCCGCCCGGGAAUGGUUUGCUCUCGCCGCAGCCCGGCCAGCACUGCGUCGGAUUGCUUGGGAACUCAGCGGGGCUGCCGGGUACCGGGAUAAAGUUUUUGGAAAGGCGUCAUCGCAAGAGGCGUGAGUACUGCUCUGUGUGUUGCACGGAGGCUGCGGGGUUUGUUCGGUAACUGCGGGACCGGUGGAGCACCAUGUAAUCUUCUGACGGUGCACACAGGGAACCACAGUUUCAGCCAGUCACUGAUUUGUUUCCUGCUUGAGCACCAUAAAACAUUUUCAGAAAUGGAAGAAGAAAAAGGGCAAAGUACUAAAGCUACCAGUGCAGUGGGUGACCUGAGGAAAAGUUGGCAGACCUGGGCAGAGGAUCACAUCGAGUAUCAGAGGAAGAAUCCAUUCAGCAGCGAUGACAGGCUUGCGUCCAAACCUGCGCAUACUCACAGAGGAGAUCCUACCUACGGGAGACCCCCUGAAGGCUCUCGGACAGAGCAGAGGGGGAAAGAUGCUCACUCACACGUGGGUAAGGAAGUAGAAGAGCUGUGCUUGAUCAUCAGAAGAACUGGAGAGAUGGGAGAAGAUGGACACGUGAGAGUGACAUUCGGACAGCUGUUUGAAACGUAUGUGACUAUUUCCAAUAAAGUAGUGGGAAUCUUGUUAAGAGCCAGAAAACACGGUCUGGUUCAUUUUGAAGGUGAAAUGCUUUGGCAAGGAAAAGAUGAUGAUGUGGUCAUCACUCUACUACAAUAAGGCUUUGUCCUGGAAUGAACUUUGCUGCAUAGUUCCAUUUGGAAAAACAUAUCUAGAUGCCAUCUUCACAGGUUUUGGUUACAGAAUUUCAACUCAGCUAC